Molecule: ribosomal RNA, 866 nt
Filed under: Mollisia scopiformis
Lineage: Eukaryota; Fungi; Ascomycota; Leotiomycetes; Helotiales; Mollisiaceae
Description: eukaryotic LSU rRNA
Rfam family: 5.8S ribosomal RNA (bases 507-660)
Source: RNAcentral
UUCUGUAGCAGAGCUUAACGGAGACCUUGCACCCGAGAGGGGGGAGGCGACUAUAAACAAGCUCCAGCGCAAGUCAGCACCGCUGGCAACACAAUCGAAUUGCGGGGACGCUUUAAAGCCUACCAGUACCAACUACCCCUCACCGGGUAGGGCGAGCACGCUCGAGGUCACAAUCUGGUAGGAUGCCACAAUAAGCAAUCCGCAGCGGCUCAGCCGUCCACAGACUAAGUGGUUGUGGGUAGGAGAACCCUAUCUAAGAUAUAGUCGGGCCUGAAGAGAGAUCUCCAGGGCUUCUGCGUCCGUAGGUGAACCUGCGGAAGGAUCAUUAAUAAGGAUGCUGGAAGGGGGUGAGCUCACGCCUCCCCUAGACGGUAUACCCCACCCGUGUCUAUCUACUCUUGUUGCUUUGGCAGGCCGUGGCCUCCACUGUGGGCUCUGCCUGCAUGUGCCUGCCAGAGGAUUAAACUCUGAAUUUUAGUGAUGUCUGAGAACUAUCUAAUAGUUAAAACUUUCAACAACGGAUCUCUUGGUUCUGGCAUCGAUGAAGAACGCAGCGAAAUGCGAUAAGUAAUGUGAAUUGCAGAAUUCAGUGAAUCAUCGAAUCUUUGAACGCACAUUGCGCCCUGUGGUAUUCCGCAGGGCAUGCCUGUUCGAGCGUCAUUAUAACCACUCAAGCCUGGCUUGGUGUUGGGGUUUGCGGUUCCGCAGCCCCUAAAAUCAGUGGCGGUGCCGGUGGGCUCUACGCGUAGUAAAUCUCCUCGCGAUUGAGUUCCCCCGGUGGCCUGCCAGAACCCCCAAUUUUUACAGGUUGACCUCGGAUCAGUAGGGAUACCCGCUGAACUUAAGCAUAUCAUAAGCGGAGGAAA